Molecule: ribosomal RNA, 253 nt
Filed under: uncultured bacterium
Lineage: Bacteria
Description: partial 16S ribosomal RNA
Rfam family: Bacterial small subunit ribosomal RNA
Source: RNAcentral
UACGUAGGGGGCAAGCGUUGUCCGGAUUUAUUGGGCGUAAAGAGCGUGUAGGCGGCUAGGUAGGUCCGUUGUGAAAACUCGAGGCUCAACCUCGAGACGUCGAUGGAAACCAUCUAGCUAGAGUCCGGAAGAGGAGAGUGGAAUUCCUGGUGUAGCGGUGAAAUGCGCAGAUAUUGGGAAGAACACCAGUGGCGAAGGCGGUUCUCUGGGACGGUACUGACGCUGAGACGCGAAAGCGUGGGGAGCGAACAGG